This 253-nucleotide ribosomal RNA is filed under the name uncultured bacterium. RNAcentral describes it as "partial 16S ribosomal RNA". It matches the Rfam family "Bacterial small subunit ribosomal RNA", at positions 524 to 776 of the family's 1533-position model. The record is from RNAcentral.
UACGUAGGGGGCAAGCGUUGUCCGGAUUUACUGGGCGUAAAGAGCGUGUAGGCGGCCACGCAGGUCCGUUGUGAAAACUGGAGGCUCAACCUCCAGACGUCGACGGAAACCGUAUGGCUAGAGUCCGGAAGAGGAGAGUGGAAUUCCUGGUGUAGCGGUGAAAUGCGCAGAUAUCAGGAAGAACACCAGCGGCGAAGGCGGCGCUCUGGGCCGGAACUGACGCUGAGGAGCGAAAGCGUGGGGAGCAAACAGG